Molecule: transfer RNA, 75 nt
Filed under: Vicinamibacteria bacterium
Lineage: Bacteria; Pseudomonadati; Acidobacteriota; Vicinamibacteria
Also listed under: 2 other names
Description: tRNA-Val
Rfam family: tRNA
About the family: Transfer RNA (tRNA) molecules are approximately 80 nucleotides in length.
Source: RNAcentral
GCGCGCUUGGCUCAGCGGUAGAGCAUCGCCUUCACACGGCGGGGGUCGGAGGUUCGAAUCCUCCAGCGCGCACCA